GCCCGCCUAGCUCAAUCGGAUAGAGCGUCAGACUCUUAAAGCAGGUGGGCUCAUGUAUCUCCUGGUUAUUCUUGAGAUCUGAAGGCUGCGAGUUCGACCCUCGCGGUGGGCU
Non-coding RNA from Roridomyces roridus, 112 nucleotides. The record is from the annotation of a GenBank genome assembly. NCBI's taxonomy places the organism in Eukaryota, Fungi, Basidiomycota, Agaricomycetes, Agaricales, Mycenaceae.